GCCUUUUGAGUGCAGUUGGUAGCACGUCAGUCUCAUAAUCUGAAGGUCCUGAGUUAAAUCCUCAGAGAAGGCA
RNAcentral lists this transfer RNA (73 nucleotides) under Chelydra serpentina (North American snapping turtle). RNAcentral's name for it is "tRNA-Met". It matches the Rfam family "tRNA". Rfam says of the family: Transfer RNA (tRNA) molecules are approximately 80 nucleotides in length. Their secondary structure includes four short double-helical elements and three loops (D, anti-codon, and T loops). Further hydrogen bonds mediate the characteristic L-shaped molecular structure. tRNAs have two regions of fundamental functional importance: the anti-codon, which is responsible for specific mRNA codon recognition, and the 3' end, to which the tRNAs corresponding amino acid is attached (by aminoacyl-tRNA synthetases). tRNAs cope with the degeneracy of the genetic code in two manners: having more than one tRNA (with a specific anti-codon) for a particular amino acid; and 'wobble' base-pairing, i.e. permitting non-standard base-pairing at the 3rd anti-codon position. Lineage: Eukaryota; Metazoa; Chordata; Testudines; Chelydridae. The record is from RNAcentral.